RNAcentral lists this ribosomal RNA (465 nucleotides) under Vreelandella stevensii. RNAcentral's name for it is "partial 16S ribosomal RNA". It matches the Rfam family "Bacterial small subunit ribosomal RNA", at positions 338 to 795 of the family's 1533-position model. The record is from RNAcentral. Lineage: Bacteria; Pseudomonadati; Pseudomonadota; Gammaproteobacteria; Oceanospirillales; Halomonadaceae.
CCUACGGGCGGCAGCAGUGGGGAAUAUUGGACAAUGGGGGCAACCCUGAUCCAGCUAUGCCGCGUGUGUGAAGAAGGCCCUCGGGUUGUAAAGCACUUUCAGUGAGGAAGAACGCCUGGUGGUUAAUACCCAUCAGGAAAGACAUCACUCACAGAAGAAGCACCGGCUAACUCCGUGCCAGCAGCCGCGGUAAUACGGAGGGUGCGAGCGUUAAUCGGAAUUACUGGGCGUAAAGCGCGCGUAGGUGGCUUGAUAAGCCGGUUGUGAAAGCCCCGGGCUCAACCUGGGAACGGCAUCCGGAACUGUCAAGCUAGAGUGCAGGAGAGGAAGGUAGAAUUCCCGGUGUAGCGGUGAAAUGCGUAGAGAUCGGGAGGAAUACCAGUGGCGAAGGCGGCCUUCUGGACUGACACUGACACUGAGGUGCGAAAGCGUGGGUAGCAAACAGGAUUAGAUACCCCGGUAGUC